RNAcentral lists this non-coding RNA (31 nucleotides) under Rattus norvegicus (Norway rat). The record is from RNAcentral. Lineage: Eukaryota; Metazoa; Chordata; Mammalia; Rodentia; Muridae.
UGGCCAUUUGAUAAUCCUCAGCUGAGAAUGU